AAGUCGUAACAAGGUUUCCGUAGGUGAACUUGCGGAAGGAUCAUUAUCGUAUCUCUGGCGCGUGCGGGUGCGCCCUGCUCCGGUCCACCGAGGGCCGUGCAGCGGGCCGUUCGCCGUGUCCAACCUUCACAAAACCCCACUGUGCACCUUUCACGGCGGAGGGCUGCUGGCGAGAGCCGGCGUCCAAAGUCGCAUAUACAAACCCCUAAAGUUCAAAAGAAUGAAACGCGACCUCGUCGUCGCCUAAACGCAAAACAA
Molecule: unclassified non-coding RNA, 258 nt
Filed under: plant metagenome
Description: partial contains small subunit ribosomal RNA and internal transcribed spacer 1
Rfam family: Eukaryotic small subunit ribosomal RNA (bases 1-46)
Source: RNAcentral